AUGGUCUCCUCCAACCAAAGUGCAUUCAUCACGGGCAAGAUUGUGCAUGACAACUUCAUCCUCAUCCAGCAAACGACCAGGCUGGACAUAGCUGGACAUGUCCAACUCCGUCUCCCUCGAGUCCUCCUCAAGCUGGACAUAGCUCGCGCCUUCGAUUCAAUUUCUUGGCCUUUCCUACUUCAGAUCCUGGAGCACCUUGGCUUCGGGCCGAGAUGGCACGAGUGGGUUUCUAUUCUCAUCUUCACUACCUUCACGCGCAUGAUGACCAAUGGCACUCCGGGCCCUCCCAUUCCUCACCACCAGGGCCUUCGACAGGGAGACACGGUUCCGCCCAUGCUCUUCACUCUCAUCAUUGAUGCACUAAACUCGCUCCUUCAGUGCACGGUCGCUAAGGGCAUCAUUAGGCGGCUCACAGCGCAUCUGGGUACGUCCAGCGUCUCUCUCUUUACUCCGACCCCCAGGAACUCGCCAUUAUCAACGGCUUACUUGAUUUCUUUGGGGCUGCUUCAGGCCUUCACACGAACUUUGCCAAGUGCCUUGCAGCACCGAUCCAGUGCACUCGCGAGGCUUCCGACAUCACUGGCUCUUCCUUGGCCUCCCCUUUCCCUGCGCAAGGUGCCAGCCUCCCUCCCACCUCCAACCACUCCUCGACAAGCUGUUGUGCAAGUUCGCAACCUGGAAGGUCGCACUCCUCCCGCGCGGCAAACGCCUUGCUCUGGUCAGGCAAGUCCUGACAGCCAUGCCCGUACACAUCCUGUUGGCCAUGGCGCUAUCACUUGCAUCGCACAGGUAUCUCUCUCCGUGUCAGAUGGCUUUGGCUCCACGCUUCGAAUGGCUCUCGCCCUUCAUUUGCAGCCACAUUCGGACCCCAAGGCCCUACAGUUCUUAUUAAAUUUGAACAAUUGUUGUAGUAUUAAAGAUAUUUGA
RNAcentral lists this ribosomal RNA (927 nucleotides) under Triticum aestivum (bread wheat). Its description in RNAcentral is "partial small subunit ribosomal RNA". Lineage: Eukaryota; Viridiplantae; Streptophyta; Magnoliopsida; Poales; Poaceae. The record is from RNAcentral.